This 492-nucleotide ribosomal RNA is filed under the name uncultured bacterium. RNAcentral describes it as "partial 16S ribosomal RNA". It matches the Rfam family "Bacterial small subunit ribosomal RNA", at positions 29 to 507 of the family's 1533-position model. The record is from RNAcentral.
AGUGAACGCUGGCGGUAGGCCUAACACAUGCAAGUCGAACGACAGCACAGUAAGAGCUUGCUCUUACGGGUGGCGAGUGGCGGACGGGUGAGGAAUACAUCGGAAUCUACUUUUUCGUGGGGGAUAACGUAGGGAAACUUACGCUAAUACCGCAUACGACCUACGGGUGAAAGCAGGGGAUCUUCGGACCUUGCGCGAUUGAAUGAGCCGAUGUCGGAUUAGCUAGUUGGCGGGGUAAAGGCCCACCAAGGCGACGAUCCGUAGCUGGUCUGAGAGGAUGAUCAGCCACACUGGAACUGAGACACGGUCCAGACUCCUACGGGAGGCAGCAGUGGGGAAUAUUGGACAAUGGGCGCAAGCCUGAUCCAGCCAUACCGCGUGGGUGAAGAAGGCCUUCGGGUUGUAAAGCCCUUUUGUUGGGAAAGAAAAGCAGCAGGUUAAUACCCCGCUGUUCUGACGGUACCCAAAGAACAAGCACCGGCUAACUUCGUG